Molecule: long non-coding RNA, 449 nt
Organism: Heterocephalus glaber (naked mole-rat)
Lineage: Eukaryota; Metazoa; Chordata; Mammalia; Rodentia; Bathyergidae
Source: Ensembl
CAAUCAAGGACCCAAAACUUCAAAACUAUGACGCAAAGUAAAACUUUUCUCUUGCUUGGAAAGAUAUAAUAAAACUCAAACAAAGGAACUUCCUUUGGACAAAUGGAGUUAUGGACCCAGAUUUUUCUAAGGGGGCAGCAGAGGUGCCAACCAACUAAUGGACCUGAAUGUAGACAAUGCCAAUACCUGGGGAGAGAAGGGUAAGCCUAGAGGGUUGAGAGAAUCAAGGAGAAUUAUGGAUCCACACAGCAGCACUAGCCCCAAGAAAUGCCCACAUGCACUGUCAACUAAAAAUUCAGUUUGGGGCUUUACUUCAAAGAUGUGAACAAGAAUAUGCCUCAGCUUGAACAGUUGCCACAGUCUGGGGUGUACAGAAAGAGAGGCCUCUGAAUUAAGAGUGUACCUCCAAAAACCUUAGAAGUUACGUGGAGAAAAUUGUGACUUGCUGG